GCGGAUUUUUCGUUGCCUGUUGCUUACAACUUGAGUCUGGCGUCCGUUACCGUAUCUACCGGUUACUGAGUACCAGCAACAGGCUUCCAACAGAUACUGUAUACGAUAAUAUAAUACACUCAUUCAGGACACUCUGUACUAAAAUAGUGGCAAGCAAAUUCUUGACCAAGACUGUAUUGUUUUCACUUUUCACUGUGUCUGCGGUCGCAUCACUCCUGAGUGAUUUUAAUUUUUAUUAAUUUGCGUAUGCUGAACUCCUCUGAGAUACGAUGCCAGUUCUUUGUUUUAUUUGUAAUGUUACAUUAUAUGGGGAAAAAACUCGUAUAUCUUCAAGCUUUACACCACACAGUUAUGUAUCAUACCCAGAAAAGAUUGCCGAACUGAUGGGAGAAGAAUUUGUUAUUAUUGUCACGCCUGCGGAUUACAUGUGCAUGGAAUGCACAUCCCUUUUCAUUCAUAUGGACAAGCUGGAAAAUGAUCUAAAACUUUAUAAAAAUGCUAUAUUAACCAUAAUACAAAAGAAAUACGGAAUGUUGCCUGCUGAUCAGCCUGAACAUUCUUUUAGUACUAGUAGAAGUAAUGCUGCAACUAAAUAAGACAAGACCCUACAAAUAUUCAAAUAUACAAAAAACUGUUACAAAAACAGUAACCCUGGAAUAAAUACCUCAGCGAAACAACAUAAAACCAACCAUCAGUUGAACAUCCAAACUCAACAGUAGCAACAAAAAAAAAAUAAACAGAAUGAAUAAAAGACAAUUUUAAUUAUAAUGUAAUAAUAGUAUUAAUAACAAAAUCAACAAAAUAACAGCU
Long non-coding RNA from Metopolophium dirhodum (rose-grain aphid), 810 nucleotides. RefSeq lists it as uncharacterized. NCBI's taxonomy places the organism in Eukaryota, Metazoa, Arthropoda, Insecta, Hemiptera, Aphididae. The transcript has 3 exons. The record is from RefSeq and is a predicted model, not a curated record.